UACGGAGGAUGCGAGCGUUAUCCGGAUUUAUUGGGUUUAAAGGGUGCGCAGGCGGGCGUUUAAGUCAGCGGUGAAAGGCUCGGGCUCAACCGGAGCAGUGCCGUUGAUACUGGAUGUCUUGAAUGCGGUCAAGGCCGGCGGAAUGUGGCGUGUAGCGGUGAAAUGCAUAGAUAUGCCACAGAACACCGAUAGCGAAGGCAGCUGGCCGGGCCUGCAUUGACGCUGAGGCACGAAAGCGUGGGGAU
RNAcentral lists this ribosomal RNA (245 nucleotides) under uncultured Sphingobacteriaceae bacterium. Its description in RNAcentral is "partial 16S ribosomal RNA". It matches the Rfam family "Bacterial small subunit ribosomal RNA", at positions 524 to 768 of the family's 1533-position model. Lineage: Bacteria; Pseudomonadati; Bacteroidota; Sphingobacteriia; Sphingobacteriales; Sphingobacteriaceae. The record is from RNAcentral.